Molecule: ribosomal RNA, 257 nt
Filed under: uncultured bacterium
Lineage: Bacteria
Description: partial 16S ribosomal RNA
Rfam family: Bacterial small subunit ribosomal RNA
Source: RNAcentral
UACGUAGGUGGCAAGCGUUGUCCGGAUUUACUGGGCGUAAAGAGCUCGUAGGCGGUGUGUCGCGUCGGCCGUGAAAACCUGCAGCUUAACUGUGGGCUUGCGGUCGAUACGGGCAUCACUGGAGUUCGGCAGGGGAGACUGGAAUUCCUGGUGUAGCGGUGAAAUGCGCAGAUAUCAGGAGGAACACCGGUGGCGAAGGGCGGGGUCUCCUGGGCCGAUACUGACGCUGAGGAGCGAAAGCGUGGGGAGCGAACAGG